AUUGAACGCUGGCGGCAGGCCUAACACAUGCAAGUCGAACGGUAGCACAGAGAGCUUGCUCUCGGGUGACGAGUGGCGGACGGGUGAGUAAUGUCUGGGAAACUGCCCGAUGGAGGGGGAUAACUACUGGAAACGGUAGCUAAUACCGCAUAACGUCUACGGACCAAAGUGGGGGACCUUUGGGCCUCACACCAUCGGAUGUGCCCAGAUGGGAUUAGCUAGUAGGUGGGGUAAUGGCUCACCUAGGCGACGAUCCCUAGCUGGUCGGAGAGGAUGACCAGCCACACUGGAACUGAGACACGGUCCAGACUCCUACGGGAGGCAGCAGUGGGGAAUAUUGCACAAUGGGCGCAAGCCUGAUGCAGCCAUGCCGCGUGUAUGAAGAAGGCCUUCGGGUUGUAAAGUACUUUCAGCGGGGAGGAAGGGUUGCUGGUUAAUAACCAGCGACAUUGACGUUACCCGCAGAAGAAGCACCGGCUAACUCCGUGCCAGCAGCCGCGGUAA
Molecule: ribosomal RNA, 504 nt
Filed under: uncultured bacterium
Lineage: Bacteria
Description: partial 16S ribosomal RNA
Rfam family: Bacterial small subunit ribosomal RNA
Source: RNAcentral